GAUGAACGCUAGCUACAGGCUUAACACAUGCAAGUCGAGGGGCAGCAUGGUCUUAGCUUGCUAAGGCCGAUGGCGACCGGCGCACGGGUGAGUAACACGUAUCCAACCUGCCGUCUACUCUUGGACAGCCUUCUGAAAGGAAGAUUAAUACAAGAUGGCAUCAUGAGUCCGCAUGUUCACAUGAUUAAAGGUAUUCCGGUAGACGAUGGGGAUGCGUUCCAUUAGAAAGUAGGCGGGGUAACGGCCCACCUAGUCUUCGAUGGAUAGGGGUUCUGAGAGGAAGGUCCCCCACAUUGGAACUGAGACACGGUCCAAACUCCUACGGGAGGCAGCAGUGAGGAAUAUUGGUCAAUGGGCGAGAGCCUGAACCAGCCAAGUAGCGUGAAGGAUGACUGCCCUAUGGGUUGUAAACUUCUUUUAUAAAGGAAUAAAGUCGGGUAUGGAUACCCGUUUGCAUGUACUUUAUGAAUAAGGAUCGGCUAACUCCGUG
This 490-nucleotide ribosomal RNA is filed under the name uncultured bacterium. Its description in RNAcentral is "partial 16S ribosomal RNA". It matches the Rfam family "Bacterial small subunit ribosomal RNA", at positions 28 to 507 of the family's 1533-position model. The record is from RNAcentral.